AUUGUAGGACAAUGGAUAGCGCGCGCGUUGGACUUCUAAUCCAAAGGUCGUGGAUUGGAAUCCCACCUGGGAUG
This is a non-coding RNA of Trichonephila clavipes, 74 nucleotides long. Lineage: Eukaryota; Metazoa; Arthropoda; Arachnida; Araneae; Nephilidae. The record is from the annotation of a GenBank genome assembly.